UACUUUUAUUUUCUUUUGGUUCUCUUUUAUUCAUAUUGCAUUUACUUCGUUUUAUACUAUAUCAUUUGUCAUAAUCUUCUUGAUUGAUGGCAAACAGGGAGAAUAUGAAUACGAUUUCGAUAUAUCUUAUAACCCUAAUAAAUUCCAAACAAUACUAAAAUCCUGUUGAUUAUUUUUUGAACUUCAAACUUUUUCUAGUGUCAACUCAGGAGGAGCUUACAAACCUCACUCUGAAGAAACUGAAUUUUUUUUAUAAGUAUAAAACUCAAGGUGAGCUUAG
This 280-nucleotide long non-coding RNA is filed under the name Lathyrus oleraceus (garden pea). RNAcentral's name for it is "Pisum sativum (pea) long non-coding RNA (PSAT_LNC038643)". Lineage: Eukaryota; Viridiplantae; Streptophyta; Magnoliopsida; Fabales; Fabaceae. The record is from RNAcentral.